This 217-nucleotide long non-coding RNA is filed under the name Elaeis guineensis (African oil palm). RNAcentral's name for it is "long non-coding RNA (EGUI_LNC001021)". The record is from RNAcentral. Lineage: Eukaryota; Viridiplantae; Streptophyta; Magnoliopsida; Arecales; Arecaceae.
CAUGGUUCGCAAAAUAAGCUAUAGACCAUGAGAAACACUGAAAAAAUGAUAUUCAGUCCAUGAUGGACCGCGAGAAACCGAGGGGAAAUGCCCCUUCGGUCUACAUACCCCUUUGUGCACCGUCGAUCCACCGUGGACCGAGAUGCUCGUACGUUGAGCCCGCACGCAUAUGCGUUGGCCUGGGCCGUGCCUGCACCCAUGCGCCUGGGCUUAGGCC